GUACCCGUGGCUCAAUUGGAUAGAGCAUCUGACUACGGAUCAGAAGGUUGGGGGUUCGAGUCCCUCCGGGUACGCCA
RNAcentral lists this transfer RNA (77 nucleotides) under Clostridiales bacterium. RNAcentral describes it as "tRNA-Arg". It matches the Rfam family "tRNA". From Rfam's summary of the family: Transfer RNA (tRNA) molecules are approximately 80 nucleotides in length. Their secondary structure includes four short double-helical elements and three loops (D, anti-codon, and T loops). RNAcentral also lists the same sequence under 1 other name. Lineage: Bacteria; Bacillati; Bacillota; Clostridia; Eubacteriales. The record is from RNAcentral.